Molecule: ribosomal RNA, 338 nt
Filed under: bacterium
Lineage: Bacteria
Description: bacterial SSU rRNA
Rfam family: Bacterial small subunit ribosomal RNA
Source: RNAcentral
CACGCAGGCGGUCUGUUAAGUCAGAUGUGAAAUCCCCGGGCUUAACCUGGGAACUGCAUUUGAAACUGGCAGGCUUGAGUCUCGUAGAGGGGGGUAGAAUUCCAGGUGUAGCGGUGAAAUGCGUAGAGAUCUGGAGGAAUACCGGUGGCGAAGGCGGCCCCCUGGACGAAGACUGACGCUCAGGUGCGAAAGCGUGGGGAGCAAACAGGAUUAGAUACCCUGGUAGUCCACGCCGUAAACGAUGUCGACUUGGAGGUUGUUCCCUUGAGGAGUGGCUUCCGGAGCUAACGCGUUAAGUCGACCGCCUGGGGAGUACGGCCGCAAGGUUAAAACUCAAG